Molecule: ribosomal RNA, 309 nt
Filed under: uncultured bacterium
Lineage: Bacteria
Description: partial 16S ribosomal RNA
Rfam family: Bacterial small subunit ribosomal RNA
Source: RNAcentral
AGAGACAGCAGUAGCCACGGGAAUACGGAGGAUCCAAGCGUUAUCCGGAAUCAUUGGGUUUAAAGGGUCCGUAGGCGGUCUUGUAAGUCAGUGGUGAAAGCCCAUCGCUCAACGGUGGAACGGCCAUUGAUACUGCAGGACUUGAAUUAUUGGGAAGUAACUAGAAUAUGUAGUGUAGCGGUGAAAUGCUUAGAGAUUACAUGGAAUACCAAUUGCGAAGGCAGGUUACUACCAAUUGAUUGACGCUGAUGGACGAAAGCGUGGGUAGCGAACAGGAUUAGAUAUCCCCGUAGUCCCUGUCUCUUAUAU